AGUGUAGCGGUGAAAUGCGUAGAUAUUAGGAAGAACACCAGUGGCGAAGGCGGCUUUCUGGACUGAAACUGACGCUGAGGCUCGAAAGCGUGGGGAGCAAACAGGAUUAGAUACCCUGGUAGUCCACGCCGUAAACGAUGAGUGCUAGGUGUCGGGGAGGAAUCCUCGGUGCCGCAGCUAACGCAAUAAGCACUCCACCUGGGGAGUACGACCGCAAGGUUGAAACUCAAAGGAAUUGACGGGGGCCCGCACAAGCGGUGGAGCAUGUGGUUUAAUUCGAAGCAACGCGAAGAACCUUACCAAGGCUUGACAUCCCGAUGACCGUCCUAGAGAUAGGACUUCUCUUCGGAGCAUCGGUGACAGGUGGUGCAUGGUUGUCGUCAGCUCGUGUCGUGAGAUGUUGGGUUAAGUCCCGCAACGAGCGCAACCCUUAUCUUCAGUAGCCAUCAUUCAGUUGGGCACUCUGGAGAGACUGCCGUGGAUAACACGGAGGAAGGUGGGGAUGACGUCAAAUCAUCAUGCCCCUUAUGUCUUGGGCUACACACGUGCUACAAUGGCUGGUAACAAAGUGAUGCGAGACGGCGACGUUAAGCAAAUCACAAAAACCCAGUCCCAGUUCGGAUUGUAGUCUGCAACUCGACUACAUGAAGCUGGAAUCGCUAGUAAUCGCGAAUCAGCAUGUCGCGGUGAAUACGUUCCCGGGCCUUGUACACACCGCCCGUCACACCAUGGGAGUUGGAAGCACCCGAAGUCGAAGACCUAACCGUAAGGAAGGAGCCGCCGAAG
This 786-nucleotide ribosomal RNA is filed under the name uncultured organism. RNAcentral describes it as "SSU rRNA". It matches the Rfam family "Bacterial small subunit ribosomal RNA", at positions 672 to 1461 of the family's 1533-position model. The record is from RNAcentral.